CCUACGGGAGGCAGCCGUAGGGAAUUUUCGGCAAUGGGGGGAACCCUGCCCGCGCAACGCCGCGUGAACGAAGACGUUAUUCGUAAUGUAAAGUUCUUUUUACCGGGAAGAAAGCGAAAUUUGCCGGUACCUGAAGAAUAAGCUCCGGCUAACUACGUGCCAGCAGCCGCGGUAAUACGUAGGGAGAGAGCGUUAUCCGGAAUUCUUGGUCGUAAAGGGUUCGUAGAUGGCAUAGUAAGUCUUUUGUAAAAAUGCUGGGCUCAACCCAGUAGGGCAAAAGAUACUGCAAAGCUAGAGUAUGACAGAGGCAAGUGGAACUACAUGUGUAGCGGGAAAAUGCGUAAAUAGAUGGAAGAACACCAGUGGCGAAGGCGGCUUGCUGGGUCGAUACUGACAUUGAGGCACGAAAGCGUGGGGAGCAAACAGGAUUAGAUACCCCAGUAGUC
RNAcentral lists this ribosomal RNA (446 nucleotides) under uncultured bacterium. RNAcentral's name for it is "partial 16S ribosomal RNA". It matches the Rfam family "Bacterial small subunit ribosomal RNA", at positions 338 to 795 of the family's 1533-position model. The record is from RNAcentral.